UCGAUUCCGUAAGUAGCGGCGAGCGAACGCGGAUUAGCCCAAACCAAUAAAGUUUUCUUUAUUGGGGUUGCGGACAUAUCAUAACGAAGAGAUAUCGUAAUUGAAGAGGUUUGGAAAGACCCACCACAGAAGGUAAUAGUCCUGUAUGUUAAACGAGAAGACUUUAGAUAUGAUCCAGAGUACCACGGGACACGUGAAACCCUGUGGGAAGCAGGAGGG
RNAcentral lists this ribosomal RNA (219 nucleotides) under Clostridioides difficile. Its description in RNAcentral is "partial 23S ribosomal RNA". It matches the Rfam family "Bacterial large subunit ribosomal RNA", at positions 233 to 451 of the family's 2925-position model. Lineage: Bacteria; Bacillati; Bacillota; Clostridia; Peptostreptococcales; Peptostreptococcaceae. The record is from RNAcentral.